AGCAGCCGCGGUAAUUCCAGCUCCAAUAGCGUAUAUUAAAGUUGUUGCAGUUAAAAAGCUCGUAGUUGAAUUUCGGGGUUAGUAGGUUGGUCAUGCCUCUGGUAUGUACUGGUCUCACUGAUUCCUCCUUCCUGAUGAACCUUAAUGCCAUUUAUUUGGUGUUUUGGGGAAUUUGGACUGUUACUUUGAAAAAAUUGAGUGUUUAAAGCAAGCUAACGCUUGAAUACAUUAGCAUGGAAUAAUGAAAUAGGACGUUCGAUCCUAUUUUGUUGGUUUCUAGGAUUGACGUAAUGAUUAAUAGGGAUAGUUGGGGGCAUUAGUAUUCAAUUGUCAGAGGUGAAAUUCUUGGAUUUAUUGAAGACUAACUACUGCGAAAGCAUUUGCCAAGGAUGUUUUCAUUAAUCAAGAACGAAAGUUAGGGGAUCGAAGACGAUCAGAUACCGUCGUAGUCUUAACCAUAAACUAUGCCG
This 470-nucleotide ribosomal RNA is filed under the name uncultured Glomus. RNAcentral's name for it is "SSU rRNA". It matches the Rfam family "Eukaryotic small subunit ribosomal RNA", at positions 569 to 1044 of the family's 1831-position model. Lineage: Eukaryota; Fungi; Glomeromycota; Glomeromycetes; Glomerales; Glomeraceae. The record is from RNAcentral.